This is a long non-coding RNA of Astatotilapia calliptera (eastern happy), 1103 nucleotides long. The record is from Ensembl. NCBI's taxonomy places the organism in Eukaryota, Metazoa, Chordata, Actinopteri, Cichliformes, Cichlidae.
GUCUGGGGCCUGGAUCUCCUUCAUACCUGCUUCAUGGGCUAUGGCUCCCCACACUCCCUAGCAGAUCGUUAAAUGGAGAAACUUUUGAAUACAAGCGUGCUGAUGCACACAGGUGUACACAGACACAAACUACACCUUUCUUGGCUGCUACCUCAAAGCACAUUGUGCGCUGUCGAUCUUGCGUGCUGCACAAUAACAUGUAAUAUUUAGUAGCUACUCCUAUCUACUGUUAGCUAGUUUAUUGUGAUGGUGUUGUAUUUGUUAUGUUUGUUUGUUUUCUCUACUGUUUUUUCUUAUCUCCAUACAGGUGAUCCAGGUGUUUUGUUUGUUUUUCUUUUUUUUUCUUCCCCCCUUUCUCACCAUCUCUUCUCCCCUCUAUUUCUCUUCCCCUCCCUGUCUUUCUUUCAUUCUUCCUCCUAUCCCCCAGUCAUGUCUGUCCCGUCUGUAACAACCGAAAAUCAAAUCAAAUAAAUAUAUCAUUAUAGUAAAGGUCAAUCAAAUGGACAAAUAUGGCAAGGCCAUGAUGAUCCACUUGGUAAAGUAAAUCCGCUUGGCAUCUUUCUUGGCCUUCAGACAACAAUUCUGAUGGCUAAAGAUCCAAACAGGACAGGCAAAAAAACCCCAACAAAAACAAAAAACUGAAACGGUCCUACUUUGCUUCCCUUUUUUGGGCUUUUUUCAGCCUUUUUCAGGACUUUCUCUGUAAAAUGUGUAGUGCCUUAUGUUCAAUACAUCAGUCUUAAUAAUACAAGUUUGGGGUUUUGUAUCCACACCAUUGUUUCAAUGGUUUCUUUAUUUCUUUAUUUAUAUUUUUCCAACACGUCUCUUAUGACAGUAGAUAGUUAUUAGAUUUCUCCUUCAACCUACAUUCAGGUGUUCAUUGACCUAUAAAAAGGAAAUACUGAGUGGUGUUAUUUUUGCGUAGGUGUAGGCACAAUCAUCUAAAUCACCUAAAUCUGUAGCUGUUUCGACUUGACAGAGCAUUGUGGGAAGAUAAAGCUUGCUGCUUAGCUGUUCCGCCCAUGCUAUCACUGCUGUUGUUUUCUCGUAUCUUUCUUCCUGUUUUCUGAAUACUUUCAUAUUUAUAUAGUGCAUUUCAAGUU